Molecule: unclassified non-coding RNA, 22 nt
Filed under: Mus musculus (house mouse)
Lineage: Eukaryota; Metazoa; Chordata; Mammalia; Rodentia; Muridae
Description: oocyte_clustered_small_RNA3451
Source: RNAcentral
ACAGCCACAAAAUCUGAGAAGG